RNAcentral lists this ribosomal RNA (492 nucleotides) under uncultured bacterium. RNAcentral's name for it is "partial 16S ribosomal RNA". It matches the Rfam family "Bacterial small subunit ribosomal RNA", at positions 29 to 507 of the family's 1533-position model. The record is from RNAcentral.
AGUGAACGCUGGCGGUAGGCCUAACACAUGCAAGUCGAACGGCAGCACAGUAAGAGCUUGCUCUUACGGGUGGCGAGUGGCGGACGGGUGAGGAAUACAUCGGAAUCUACUUUUUCGUGGGGGAUAACGUAGGGAAACUUACGCUAAUACCGCAUACGACCUACGGGUGAAAGCAGGGGAUCUUCGGACCUUGCGCGAUUGAAUGAGCCGAUGUCGGAUUAGCUAGUUGGCGGGGUAAAGGCCCACCAUGGCGACGAUCCGUAGCUGGUCUGAGAGGAUGAUUAGCCACACUGGAACUGAGAAACGGUCCAGACUCCUAAGGGAGGCAGCAGUGGGGAAUAUUGGGCAAUGGGCGCAAGCCUGAUCCAGCCAUACCGCGUGGGUGAAGAAGGCCUUCGGGUUGUAAAACCCUUUUGUUGGGAAAGAAAAGCAGCAGGUUAAAACCCCGACGUUCUGACGGUACCCAAAGAAUAAGCAACGGCUAACUUCGUG